GGUCACCCUGUCUUAGUCCUCUCUGUGGAAUGACAUAACCAACUGAAUUUCCAUUCAACAUGAAAGAAUACGAAAGUUAAAAAUAGUAGAAAGCUAUUUUAGAAACUCCCUAUAAAAUUUCAACUCCAACCGUACUUCCUAGUUUUAAAGAGUUAUAAUUAUUUUUAAUAUUUUUAAUUCAAUUUUUGAAUAAAGUGUAG
This 200-nucleotide long non-coding RNA is filed under the name Prunus persica (peach). RNAcentral describes it as "long non-coding RNA (PPER_LNC000740)". Lineage: Eukaryota; Viridiplantae; Streptophyta; Magnoliopsida; Rosales; Rosaceae. The record is from RNAcentral.